RNAcentral lists this transfer RNA (77 nucleotides) under Enterobacter hormaechei. Its description in RNAcentral is "tRNA-Pro". It matches the Rfam family "tRNA". Rfam says of the family: Transfer RNA (tRNA) molecules are approximately 80 nucleotides in length. Their secondary structure includes four short double-helical elements and three loops (D, anti-codon, and T loops). Lineage: Bacteria; Pseudomonadati; Pseudomonadota; Gammaproteobacteria; Enterobacterales; Enterobacteriaceae. RNAcentral also lists the same sequence under 1 other name. The record is from RNAcentral.
CGGCGAGUAGCGCAGCUUGGUAGCGCAACUGGUUUGGGACCAGUGGGUCGGAGGUUUGAAUCCUCUCUCGCCGACCA